AAUGAGAAAGAAUAAGCCAACAAACUGCCGGAUAAAAGAGAAGGAAAAAGAAAAAAAGAUGGCCGGUCUCAUUCUCUUCCUCAAACCCUAUCUCUUCGUCCCCAUUCCUCAUCCAGAUCCCAAGAUACUUCAAUUUCUAGUCGCCUAAACGUUGGAAUCCAUAUCAUUCUUUUCUUCCCAAGGUCAAAUUUCUCGAUCGAUUGGGUUCGUAAUUCUUUGAAUCGUAUUGUAGUCGGUUAGGCUGUUGUUUUAGGAGCUGUAUUCCAAAAGAUGAGCAGACAGUGAGAUUGGAUUCUGUUGAUGGUCGUCUCCUCCUCAAAGAAGAACGAGUUGAUGGCGAGGGAUGUUGGUUUCAGGACCCUGGCGUUCUCGAUCUGGAUAAGGUAAAGGCUGUAAUUCAUCCCUUUCAGCUUUUGAUGUGGCCUCCUAGUCCCCGACGCAUGCGUAAGCCAUUCUCAAAAUUCAAAGGUGAGAGCCUAAUUCCCCUAACACCAAAACCCCAAUUCUAAUUAGGCACUGAGGAUCCAAACCUCAAUUUCAAUUCUACAAGGUAACCAUCUCGAUUCCUCAUAGUUUUUCCACAUCAAUAUAGGAAUUAGGAUUUCCAAGAUUACCUUACUUAUAUGUACUUUGUUAAAUUUUUUAAAUUUCGUGUUCAUAGCUACUCUGCUAGUCUUUUUGGGGCGUGAAAUUGAAGAUUCCAAUGUGUUUCGCUUGAAAUUUAGAGCUCCAGGGAGAAGCCUUUUCUGUAUGAAAUUGUGGCAAAUGGGCGUAAUGGUUUGAUUAUCUUGUCCAUGGCAGCCGAGCUUGUGGGCUGGGAUGCAACUUUGAGUUUAAAAGAUUCAGAGAUAUAGAUGCCAGUGCUGGUGAUGUUGAUCCUCAUUAUAGGGCUUGUUUACAACGAUGUGAAGAAACUGGAUGUGUAGCAAGAGAUGCUUUCCACAUUGCAAUUUCUCUUCAGUUUCAGGUCCAAACCUAGCAGAAGGCGUGGGAGUAUUCACAUACUGAGUAGUUUUUGCAUUGUCUACCACUACAUAUCUGUUUAACUUUGUAUAUUUGCUUGCAAAUACAUGUUCAAAUACAAUUCCAGGUCUUGUGAUUGUUGGUUGGUGUAAGAAGGAUGGAUAUUGUAUUUUGAGAUUUUUCAAUGUAUAAUAUUUGGAGAACGUGGAACUA
Molecule: long non-coding RNA, 1176 nt
Organism: Rosa chinensis
Lineage: Eukaryota; Viridiplantae; Streptophyta; Magnoliopsida; Rosales; Rosaceae
Exons: 6
Source: RefSeq, a predicted model, not a curated record